AAAGUCACCAACUACAGAAUCUAAAGAUCUGAUGAGCGCCUAAAAUGGUCUUCACAUGUUCGGAAAGAACAAGAUUGGUUCACAAAUCAUGACCCUUACAUUUCUAAAACCCUGCUUGAACUCACCAGAAUUCCCAGCACUCCUCUUAUUGAUAUUAUAAAGUCGCUGUCUUUAUUAUCCAUCCACAAUUUUUCUUACUAGAUUGUUUUUCAAUUUAUGUACAGUUUGUGCAUCCUUAGAAUCAUAACAUUUGCAUAUACAAU
This 263-nucleotide unclassified non-coding RNA is filed under the name Hevea brasiliensis (rubber tree). The record is from RNAcentral. Lineage: Eukaryota; Viridiplantae; Streptophyta; Magnoliopsida; Malpighiales; Euphorbiaceae.